Dromiciops gliroides (monito del monte) is the source of this 1396-nucleotide long non-coding RNA. RefSeq lists it as uncharacterized. The transcript has 2 exons. The record is from RefSeq and is a predicted model, not a curated record. NCBI's taxonomy places the organism in Eukaryota, Metazoa, Chordata, Mammalia, Microbiotheria, Microbiotheriidae.
UCCACCCAGUGGUUUCUUUUGAGAAAGCUAAAAGGAGCAGAGCCAAGGGAAGAGUUGGGCACCUUCCCAGCCUGGCAUUCCUGACCAUACCACGCGCCUGUUUCCUGACCCUGCAGCUGAUGCACCUGCAUCAGGCCGGGAGGAGGGGCAGGGGGCAUAGUCUGCAGCCACGGGGUAGGAGUGGAGCCUGAAUGAGACAGACUAGCGAUCUCUAGCCCUGCCGUGGGCAGAGAAGAUAAGAUGGCAGACAAUCCUUUCUCAAUGACGGGAGCCUCUGGGGAGCUGAGGCUGUCCAGUGCUGACUCAGCAGCAUCACACCUGCCUUAGCUCCAUCUGGAACACACUUGGCCUCCUGCAAUGGCUCCUCCCUCCUGCUCCCAAGCACUCUGGCACCUGGACAGCAGAGCUCUAAAAGCAGCCACGGCCCUCAGACGCCUUGUUCUCCUCCCUGCUUAUGAGUUUAGACAUCUACAUCUUUAAAACAACCACCACCAGCAGCAGCAAGGGCAAAGGUCACAAGCCAGGAAAACCCACUAGCCUCCAGCCUUCCCUGAUCCCAUGUGGCAGGACAAAGAUCAAUGGGGUGUGUCUGCACCUCGAAGGCUGAGUAGUGAAAUGAAGCAGAGGCCACUCACUCACUGCAGGGUCCAGUAGGGUCUGGCUAGCAUAAAAGGAUGGCAAUUGGACAGAAGAAUUAAUCACAUCUCCUGACACCAGCACAACUGCCCUGUGGAUUUGGAAUUUUGGGCCAGAAGAUUGUGGUAGUCACAGAAUCGAAGCGUAAGCACCUCACUUUCCUGGGAUAGUGAAGACACCAGGGACACCAGCUACUGAGCCUUCAGAUCUGCCCUUACUAGCCCUGGCUAAGGAAAAUCAGUUAUCUGUCCUCCUGGCCUACAGCUUUAGGAAAGGGCAGUGUGGAUUAGCUACAACAAGGCCUGGGCACAAACCAGCUUCCAAAUCAUUCCACCCUGGUUUAGGAGCUGGGUGUGGAUGAGUGACAGGGAAGGGGGUGGGGGGAGGAGUUGGAAAAGAGAAGAACCAGACCCCCUCCCCUCCCCGCAACCACUGGUCUGCGGGCAGGUGAUGGGAGAGGGAGAUCCACCCUCCUCUAUGCCUUCCUUGCCAACCCAGAGAGCACAGUACUUGAUUUUACAGAUGGGUCUUGCUGUGGCUGACUGCACUGUCAGCUGUUUCUACCUUGGGGUCUGAUGAAACCAAGAAAGAGAGAUGCUUAAGCAAACACUGGAGGAGUCAUGGAACUCCAAGCACCUGACUGAAAAACCCAAGUAGAGGGAGGAAGGCACCAUACUUCACUGUCAUAGUCAAAGGCAGGGGGCUUACCACUAACACAGUGAGAAAAGUGUCAAAAGAUUAAAUUAAGUGAGAGAUCAAA